This is a non-coding RNA of Pelobates cultripes (western spadefoot toad), 239 nucleotides long. NCBI's taxonomy places the organism in Eukaryota, Metazoa, Chordata, Amphibia, Anura, Pelobatidae. The record is from the annotation of a GenBank genome assembly.
GUGCUAAUCAGCUGAUGUGCUCGCACCAUUUAUAGUGCUGCAUGUUAAUACUUUGGGAGGUUAACAGUGUAGAUUAAGAAGCACUGCACCCUUAGACUGUGGAGGAGUACUGUGAUGUAUCCCAUAAUCCUUAUGGACAGAAGAAUUACACAGGACUGGGAAUUAUUGUUAUUUUUUUGAAAAGCACACAAGCAUACAUGAUAAUAAUUUCAUAUAGAUGUAUUUAAACAUGACAUUUU